UUUACAGGAGGUGUACCAAAAGUCCCGUGUCCGGAUUUUGAAUGAGUGCUUCAUUUCAGGAUCAAUUACCUUAAGCUUCCCACAAACUGAAAGCUUCUGGAAGAAAAGAACUGGGUUUGGACUUCUCAGGAGCCUGUGCCCCCUCCUGGAAAGGGCACAGACUUAGAGUUCAACCCAGGUUCAACUCCUGGCUUUUAGCCAUUAACAGCCCUAUGACCUUGGGUGUUCAUAUCAAGCACACGUGAUUUUUAUAAGUGGAUAUGGAUAAUGAGACAAAGGAAAAAUGAUUGGUAAACACUGCGUGCAGGACUCUGGGGACCCAGAGCAAACUCCAGUUGCAAAACCACCACCUGCACCUGUGCACUGGCAACAAAUUGACAGCCCCAGCCCUUCUCUGAAGAUCAGGAAGAUUCUCAGGAAUGGUUGCCCCUUGGACUGGUGGAGGAGCAGGAAUUCUGGGAAGAGAACCGUUCCAGGAGCCUGGCCUGCCCUUGAGAUACAGUGAGUUUUCCUCUGGAGGUCUUGUCAUGUCUGGAAAUAUUGAAGCCAUCUUGCCAUCACCUUGAGGAGUUGAAGCCUGAGGAUGGCAGAGCAGAAAGACGGUAAGAGCCUAGAUCUGUAAUCACAUAGCUGGGCCACUGAAACUGCCUACCCAGCUCUCUGCCCCUUAAGAAUUACAAUUAUUGCAAUUAAUGCAUUUCCUUAUUGUUUAAAGAUGCUUGAAUCUGUUUCUCUGGCUUGAGGCCAAAAGCAUCCUAACUGAAACAACUUGCCAUAUAAUAAAUAUUUGUCAGUUAUAACUUGAUUUUAAAGUGAUGGCCUUCGAAACAAAAGAGAAUGUUGUCUGAG
This is a long non-coding RNA of Herpailurus yagouaroundi (jaguarundi), 849 nucleotides long. RefSeq lists it as uncharacterized. Lineage: Eukaryota; Metazoa; Chordata; Mammalia; Carnivora; Felidae. The record is from RefSeq and is a predicted model, not a curated record. The transcript is spliced from 6 exons.